RNAcentral lists this ribosomal RNA (492 nucleotides) under uncultured bacterium. RNAcentral's name for it is "partial 16S ribosomal RNA". It matches the Rfam family "Bacterial small subunit ribosomal RNA", at positions 29 to 507 of the family's 1533-position model. The record is from RNAcentral.
AGUGAACGCUGGCGGUAGGCCUAACACAUGCAAGUCGAAUGGCAGCACAGUAAGAGCUUGCUCUUACGGGUGGCGAGUGGCGGACGGGUGAGGAAUACAUCGGAACCUACUUUUUCGUGGGGGAUAACGUAGGGAAACUUACGCUAAUACCGCAUACGACCUACGGGUGAAAGCAGGGGAUCUUCGGACCUUGCGCGAUUGAAUGAGCCGAUGUCGGAUUAGCUAGUUGGCGGGGUAAAGGCCCACCAAGGCGACGAUCCGUAGCUGGUCUGAGAGGAUGAUCAGCCACACUGGAACUGAGACACGGUCCAGACUCCUACGGGAGGCAGCAGUGGGGAAUAUUGGACAAUGGGCGCAAGCCUGAUCCAGCCAUACCGCGUGGGUGAAGAAGGCCUUCGGGUUGUAAAGCCCUUUUGUUGGGAAAGAAAAGCAGCAGGUUAAUACCCCGCUGUUCUGACGGUACCCAAAGAAUAAGCACCGGCUAACUUCGUG